CAGGGCAGAUCUAUGCUCUACCAGCUCCCUUAACACCAUACGAGUUUUUAGUAUUUGCAGCUCACUUCCUGUAUGAGCUGUCAGCAUCCCAAUUCUGAGCCAAAGCAUCCCGGCGGUGUGCACUGAGCAGCAGGGAACUGUGGUGGUUAAAGACAGCCUUCCAAGAGUCCAGUGGGAUUGUGACAAGAGGUUUUUGGAGCGUUGAAAAGAGGAGGAAGAUGAAGGGGAACAGCAAUAUCUUGGAGACAAUGGGUUGGUGGUCGGAGUGGAAUCUCCAACCUUACUAUUCUACGAUAUUCAAAAGUAAGCCCUCCUUGACUCUGAACAGCUUAAAAACAAAACAAAACAAGACACAAACAAACAGGGAAGUGCAGCUGCCUCUGCAGAAACAAGCCCUGCUCUCGCCCCACCACCGUGACUCAUGGCCAGGGCUAAAUUCCCAGCAAAGGGAGGCGUGCUAAUCCUGAACGAGUGGCUUGGGCUCUGCAUUCAGGGAGCAAAUAGCAAAGAGGUGUACACAGACAUAUAUCUGCAUGCUUGGCUUCUUGUUACUGCCAUCCCCUGCUGCUGAUCUCCAUGAGCCCCACGAUCACCUCGUGGCUGCUCCUUUUGUGCGGAGAGCCCCACACGAGCGAGCGCAGCAAAAUAAUUGUUCCAAACCACAGCUGAUGCUAUCAGUUAUCUGCCAGCUAUUAUCUGUGGUGAAAUAAAAGCAAAGUGAGCAAUUGCUCGGGUAGAUGGCUCAGGGCAAGGAGCCAUUCCAUCCCCUUGUGCUCUUUCACCAUCACCAAGUCCAAAGGGGAUCCGGCCAUAAAACAUUGGGGAGGGCUUAGAAACGAGGACAGAAAAGGGAGGGAGGGCCAAGGCAAGGGAAAGUGGGACGGUGGUAUCAAUGAGCAGAUUGUGAGGAUGAAUUCAAAAAUAAAAUAAUUAAAAACCCUCCCAGAACUCUAGUAACUCAUUAAGGAAGCCUAAGCAAUCCAGGAAAAAAAGCAAAAAAUAAAAAAAGCAAGCCCUGUAAAACCUUACUGAAUUAAAUACAUGAUCACUGCCUUGCUCUUCUCACCUGCGGGCACCUAAAAUCACCAACGAUCUCCUGACAGAGGCAGCGUCGAUCCAGAAGCCCCCAAGAAAGCACCACUGGUGACAAGUAGUCAAAUAGUUGAAGGUUUUAUUCAUAUAAAACUCAUAUUAAGAACAUAAAAGAUUGCAUACUUAAAAAAAAAAAAAAAA
Molecule: non-coding RNA, 1233 nt
Organism: Meleagris gallopavo (turkey)
Lineage: Eukaryota; Metazoa; Chordata; Aves; Galliformes; Phasianidae
Source: RefSeq, a predicted model, not a curated record